GACGAACGCUGGCGGCGUGCUUAACACAUGCAAGUCGAACGGAAAGGCCCUGCUUUUGUGGGGUGCUCGGGUGGCGAACGGGUGAGUAACACGUGAGUAACCUGCCCUUGACUUUGUGAUAACUUCAGGAAACUGGGGCUAAUACCGGAUAGGAGCUCCUGCUGCAUGGUGGUGGUUGGAAAGUUUCGGCGGUUGGGGAUGGACUCGCGGCUUAUCAGCUUGUUGGUGGGGUAGUGGCUUACCAAGGCUUUGACGGGUAGCCGGCCUGAGAGGGUGACCGGCCACAUUGGGCCUGCGAGACGGCCCAGAAUCCUACGGGAGGCAGCAGUGGGGAAUAUUGCACAAUGGGCGGAAGCCUGAUGCAGCAACGCCGGGAGCGGGAUGCCGGCCUUCGGGUUGUAAACCGCUUUCGCCUGUGACGAAGCGUGAGUGACGGUAAUGGGUAAAGAAGCACCGGCUAACUACGUG
RNAcentral lists this ribosomal RNA (468 nucleotides) under uncultured bacterium. Its description in RNAcentral is "partial 16S ribosomal RNA". It matches the Rfam family "Bacterial small subunit ribosomal RNA", at positions 28 to 507 of the family's 1533-position model. The record is from RNAcentral.